GAAGGGUAAGAGCAGGUGUUCUUGGGCUUUGUGUUGACCAGCUUGCCUUACACAACCCCAGCACUGUCUGGGACACGGAAGGUGUUCUUCUUAAGGAAGUAAAAGAUGAAGGCAAGAAUAGCAUUACUGAUUCCCAAAUGGAUGAUGUUGAAGUUGUUUAUACAAUUGACAUUCAGAAAUAUAUUCCAUGCUUUUUUUAGCUUUUAUAAUUCCUCAAGUGAAGUAAAUGAGCAAGCACUGAAGAAAAUAUUCUCCAAUGUCAAAAAGAAUGUGAUAGGUUGGUACAAAUUCUGUCGUCAUUCAGAUCAGAUCAUGACGUUUAGAGAGAGGCUGCUUCACAAAAACUUGCAGGAGCAUUUUUCAAACCAAGAACUUAUUUUUCUGCUAUUAACACCAAGUAUAAUAACAGAAAGCUACGCUACUCAUCGACUGAAACAUGCCUUGAAACCUCAAAGAGGACUUUUUCACAGGGUACCUUUAGUGGUUGCCAAUCUGGAUAUUUCUGAACAACUAGGUUAUAAAACUGUAUCAGGUUCCUCUACAUCCACUGGUUUUAGCCAAGCAGUAAAAACACACAGCUCUAAAUUUUUUGAAGAAGAUGGAUCAGUAAAGGAGGUACAUAAGAUAAAAUAUGUAAUGCUUCAUUACAAGAGGAAUUAAGGAGUAUAUGCAAAAAAAAGUGAAAAACAAUGAACAAGCAAUAAAUAAACUAGUAAAGGAUAUAAACAGAUUAAAACAAGAAAUUGGAAAAAAGGAGAUGAGCAUAGAUUCAGGCAGCCUGAGAGAAGAAUAUCUAAAAAGACCCUCAGGGGAACAUUUUUCCUGGUCAAGCAUUAUGGACCUUUUAUCCAGAUUCUGAAUUUCUUCAUUCGUGUGUUGUGUCUUUAAAAAACAGACAUGUUUCUAAAAGCUGUAACAACAACCUCCACCUCGAUGUAGUAGCCAAACUGACCUUAAUGGUAGAACACACUGACAUUCCUGAAGCUAGUCCAGCUAGUAGACCACAAAUGAUUAAGCAUAAAGCCUUAGACUUAGAUGACAGAUGACAAUUCAAGAAAUCACAGCAGUUAGAGACAUAAGACAAACCAUGUAAAACAGAUACUGAUAGUAGUAACCAAGAAAAAGCAUCUACAAUGAGCAGCCCAGAAAUAGAUGAAGAGUUUGAGAAAAUGAAGGGAUCUAGUGAAUAUCCAGUCUCCUA
This 1201-nucleotide long non-coding RNA is filed under the name Homo sapiens (human). RNAcentral's name for it is "non-protein coding lnc-IMPG2-2:1". Lineage: Eukaryota; Metazoa; Chordata; Mammalia; Primates; Hominidae. The record is from RNAcentral.